ACGUCUUCCGUUCUCU
RNAcentral lists this small RNA (16 nucleotides) under Arabidopsis thaliana (thale cress). RNAcentral describes it as "ATSL016490". Lineage: Eukaryota; Viridiplantae; Streptophyta; Magnoliopsida; Brassicales; Brassicaceae. The record is from RNAcentral.